UACGUAGGUGGCAAGCGUUGUCCGGAAUUAUUGGGCGUAAAGGGCGCGCAGGCGGCCGAUUAAGUCUGAUGUGAAAUCCCACGGCUUAACCGUGGAAGGUCAUUGGAAACUGAUUGGCUUGAGUGCAGAAGAGGAAAGUGGAAUUCCCAGUGUAGCGGUGAAAUGCGUAGAUAUUGGGAGGAACAUCAGUAGCGAAGGCGACUUUCUGGGUCACACCUGACGCUGAGGUACGAAAGCGUGGGGAGCAAACGGG
This 253-nucleotide ribosomal RNA is filed under the name uncultured prokaryote. RNAcentral's name for it is "partial 16S ribosomal RNA". It matches the Rfam family "Bacterial small subunit ribosomal RNA", at positions 524 to 776 of the family's 1533-position model. The record is from RNAcentral.